RNAcentral lists this long non-coding RNA (2622 nucleotides) under Homo sapiens (human). RNAcentral's name for it is "HSALNT0092003". Lineage: Eukaryota; Metazoa; Chordata; Mammalia; Primates; Hominidae. The record is from RNAcentral.
UUAGGCCCUCUUAUUGGAAUGUUGCUCCAAGAACAAAGAUAUCAUGAGAAAGCCGUGCUUAGCAUGCCUAAAAUGAGACCUUCUUUUCUAUUCCAUUUUAACCAGGAAAAUUAAGCCCUAUAUUAAACUUUAGCUUAAUUAUAACCAGACUUCUUUCAGCUGGGAAAUGGAGAGCACUAAGAAGAGCAUCACCCACACACUUACAAUAAGAAAAAUUUAGACAAAAUGCAAAUUAACAGCCUUUCUUGAGCCCAAUAGAAAACUGAGGUUGCAGGACAAAAUCCUGUCUCAAAUAUCGAAAAAGUCGAGAAGAGGUUCUUUCCUCUGAAAGGAGAAAAAGGAUCCAAGUACUUGCUUACCUGCAACAGAUGCUCCAGAAUGUCAUAUAGAUUGGUAAGAGGAUCAAGCUAGAAAUGUUUUAAAAACUACUAAAAACUGAAUUUGUGCUAAUAAGAAAAUGUUUUUAGUUUUUCUAAAAGAUAACCGAGGAAAAACAAACCAUACUAUAUAUUGGGUGUGUGCAGCAUAAAAUGCAUAACAAUGAUGGCACAGGGAUGGGAGGGAGGAAUUUGCUAUAUGUAAUUACACUGCACGUGAAGUAGUAUAAUAUUCUUUGAAGGUAACAUCAGGUGAUUUUAAAAAGCAUGUUGCAAAUCCUAGAGUGGCCACAAAAAUAUUAAAAAUAAUAUAAACAAUAAGUCCACAAAUUAGAUAAAAUGAUAUCACUUAAAAAGAUGCUAAGUUAAAACCAGAGAGUGCAGAAAAAUAAAAGAAGCAAAAGCGAAUUGUAACAAAUAAAAAAUUACUAACAAUAUGUUCCGAUUGAACCCAACCAUAUAAAUAACCAUUUUAAAUGUGAAUGAUCUAAAUCUACUAAUUAAAAGAUAAUUUUAUGUUAGGUAAAGAAUAAUGAUCCAACUAUAUGUGGUCUAUGAGAAACAGUAGAAAUCUCAGCCAUUGAUAAGUUAGGGUAAAAAAAAUGGAGAAGGUAAACCAGGAUGGAGAAAGAUAAAUUAGGGUAGAGGAUGGAUAAAGAUAAAAGUCACUAACCAAAAGAGGGCUGUUUUAACUAUAUUAAUUUCAGAAAAUUACACUUCUGAACAAGAAAAUUUUUCAGAAAUAAAGAGAAAUAUUACAUAAUGCUAAAAGGGGUACAUUUUCUACAAAGAUUUCAGAAUCCUAACUAGAUAUGCAUCUAUCAAUAGAGUUUCAAAAUACAUACAUGAGGAAAAAUGGAUGGACCUGUAAAGAGAAGCAGAUAAAUCUGGAAUUAUAGUUAGAGGUAUCUGCAUGCCUCUCUCAGUAGCUGAUAGAACUCAGUAGGCAGAAAGUCAGUAAGGAAAUAGAUGACCUGAAAAACACUUAUCAACCAGUUGGAUCUAAGAGUUGUAGAAUAUUCCACCCAACAACAGCAGAAUAUAUUAUCUUCCCAUGAGUAACUGAAAUACAUCAAGAUAGACUGAGUUCUGGAACAUAAGACAAAUCUUAAUGAAUGUAAAAUGAUAGAAAUUAUAUACAAAGUUAUGUUCUUGGACUAUGACAACAUAAAGCUAGAAGUCAAUUUUAGAAAGUUAUCUGGGAAAUCUCCAAGUAUUUAUAAAGUAAAAAACGCAUUUCUAUAUAACUCAUGAGUCAUAGAGGAAGUCUCAAGGGAGAAUACUUUAAAUUAGCUGCCUUUUCUCACAAGCUUUUUCAUCAUAGCUUUAAAGGGUAGUCCUAGAUAGCAGUGGUGACACAUUGAGUGGUAAAGUUACACAUCUGUGCUAAAGUUUUCAACCUCUUUUCUAUAGAACCCCUGCCUAUCUUCUCAGGAUGGGUCUUCCACAAAAUAAUUUUUAGGUGGUAAUAAGUGUGGAUGCCAGGCUUUGACCACUCACUCACCUUCCUUCCCUCCUAAUUUUGGAUGAAGUACAAUUGUCAUAGUUGGCGCUUAGGACAGGUAUUGAUUUUUAAAUAUGCUUUCUUUUUUUUCUGUUAAGAUAUAAUGGUAUGUGUUUAAUUUGUGCUAGUGUUCUUAACUUCUUGAUUGUAUUUAUUUUGGAAUAAUUUGAGAGAAGGAGGUUCUGUCAUUUAGUCUUUCUCUAUACUUUUAAUAAGAAUGUUUUCCCAAGGAUUUGCAGUUCUUUAUUUUUAAAUUAUGCCAUCUGUUGUUUAUGGUGAGAAGCUUUUUGUUUAACGGAAACUUUAUAGCAUUUUGUAACAAGAUUUCAAUUUAAUUAACUUGAUUAAUGACUUAGGGCAAAAUUUGAAAAUAAGCUGAAAAAUGUAAAAGUAGCUUGUUUGAGAAAAGAAUUUGGUAUGAAAUAAAAAGUCAUCUUCACAGAUGCAACUGAUUUCUAAGCCCGUUAUGUAAUUCCACUGGUCUAAAUCACAGAAAACAUUUAUAGGACAUACUCUACCCUGCCUCUCCUGUUCAGAAAGAAGAUGGAUUUUCAAUAGUACUGUGAUAAGAGUGACAUCUGAUAUUAACAGCAAUUUCUUAAUUUGGUCCAUUAGAUUUUCCUGUUAUCAUAUUUCAUCUUAUUUCUUUGAAACUUUUUAAAUAAUGUUUUAUCUUGAAAGGAGCCUUUGAAGAGAUAGCUUUUGAUAUACAUUUUAGAGGAUAUUCUUGACGCAUGAUAU